CCUACGGGAGGCAGCAGUAGGGAAUCUUCGGCAAUGGAGGAAACUCUGACCCAGCAACGCCGCGUGAGUGAUGAAGGUCUUCGGAUUGUAAAGUUCUGUUCGAAGGGAAGAAGGAAGUGACGGUACCUUAGGAAUAAGCCUCGGCUAACUACUUGCCAGCAGCCGCGGUAAUACGUAGGAGGCGAGCGUUUUCCGGAAUGACUGGGCGUAAAGGGUGCGUAGGUGGUUUGUCAAGUUAGUAGCGUAAGCCCAAGGCUCAACCUGGGAACUACUACAGAAACUGUUGGACUUGAGUGCAGGAGGGGAGAGCGGAACUCCUAGUGUAGCGGUGGAAUGCGUAGAUAUAAGGAGGAACACCAGUGGCGAAGGCGGGUUGCUGGACUGCAACUGACGCUGAGGCACGAAAGCGUGGGGAGCAAACAGGAUUAGAUACCCGAGUAGUC
This 443-nucleotide ribosomal RNA is filed under the name uncultured bacterium. RNAcentral's name for it is "partial 16S ribosomal RNA". It matches the Rfam family "Bacterial small subunit ribosomal RNA", at positions 338 to 795 of the family's 1533-position model. The record is from RNAcentral.